This is a long non-coding RNA of Dicentrarchus labrax (European seabass), 2334 nucleotides long. RefSeq lists it as uncharacterized. The record is from RefSeq and is a predicted model, not a curated record. The transcript is spliced from 3 exons. NCBI's taxonomy places the organism in Eukaryota, Metazoa, Chordata, Actinopteri, Moronidae.
GAAGACCACCACUCUGCUAUCAAAUCAAAGUCACUUACUCACUCCUGACAGUUCUAUCAGUGCUCUAUUUGAUGAAGAAUAUGGCUGCAUUCACUUCACUUGCUCUGACAAGGCGGAGGAGAAGGCAUAUGGAGUUUAGUGAGAGCCAUUAAGAAUGUCUGCUGUGUUUGUUAUAUUAAAUGUAAAGUGGCUUGAGCUGUGUUUAUUUGCUUUUUCCAUUUUAGAGACAGAAAUGAAAAAAGAAAAAAUUUAUUUGCGUUUUAUUCUAAAAUACAGAAAUACAGAUAAACCUAAAUCAUAAACCAUAAUCAUUUUAAUCCACUUCCCAAACUCCAGCCUUCUGGGCAACAAAUGUUAAAAUGUUGCAUAAGACAAUAAUAUGUUAAUUGUAUGGAAUGGUGCAGCCAUAAAAGGUUUCAAUAUUUCACUCAGUGUAAGUGUUGGGGCUACUUCCAUCCUGUUCUCCACAUUAAUGAACUGCUCUAAUUGUUUAUCACCACCAGAGGGGCCCAUAGCACAGAUAACAACUCUGCAUAGUACUAAGCACAAAACAAAUGAUAUAACAACUUACAUCACUGCUGCUCCAGUAACAGAACUGUAGUAUUUACUUGUUAGAACUACCAUAUUACAGUACUACAGAUAACUCAUGUUUUUAUAUUUCUGAGUGUGAUGGUUCCUUUUUGGCCUGGGGAACAGUAGUUCAUCUUAAUUCAUGGUCCUCAGCAGCAGUAUUACUAAAUUAAUUCUCUUGAAUCUUACUGGGUUUUUUAUUUUUUUUUAUAUUUCUUUUAUUGUUAUAGCUCAGUCAUCUGUUGCUGUUGUGUCCUAAAACCUGCUCAAUAACUCCCCGGAUAUGAUUGUAUUUUUCAAUUACAUUCUGUUUUUUGAUGAUGAGUAGUUAAAGGAAAUAAGAAUUAUAGUGAAAAGAGAUGCUUCUGUACAGAUAUAUGGAAAUGAACAAUGGUGUUUGCUCUAUUUGAAAAGUGUCCUGAGAUAACUUUUGUUAUGAAUUAGCGCUAUACAAAUAAAAUUGAAUUGAAUUGAAUUGAAUUGAAUUGUUUAUAGAAUAUAAUGUGAAUUAUAUGCUGUGGUCUUCACAGUCCCCAGAUCUCAACCCAACUGAAGACCUAUGGAAGAUUUUGGUAGAUAGCACUCGCUACCAUCAUCAACAAAAAAAAGAAAAGAGGGCAGUCCCAAACAAUAAACAAGUUGCAAAAACUAAACUGCCCCUCUGAACUUUAAACUUUAAAUAAACUCACAUUCCAUUUACCGUUCAACUCACUGUUUCAAGGCUGGGGCUGACAGGUUUUCAGUGGCACCCUGAAGGAUUCAUCCGUCAUCCACAGUCACAGAAACAUUUGAGAUCCCCUGCAGAACCCUUUCUGUUCAGAGGAUAUGAGGAAGAUGGAAAGAGGGAGUGAGAGAGCGAGGCAAACAGAGAAAGUUCCUAAGCCGCCUCUUCAGAAUGACAGCCCACUGGAAUCAAGAAAGGGGGUGGCUGGCUGGCUGGUUUGGUCGGUGGCUGGUGCCUUUUUCCACUUAAAUAAUACAGAGGGACUGGAACAUGAUUGGACUUGGGAACUGGGAAUCCCUCUGUGAAGACAUCGUUGGACUUGGACAGGUGCUGAGAGGAGCUGGAGAAACAACACUGGAAUCUAUUCAGGACUAAGACAGUGGGACAGAGCUAUAUGUGGGGACAAUCAGUAAGAGGCCUAAUUAACAAAAGCAGUACAUAAAGUAUUGCUUGAUCUGAAAUUGAUCCAACCAAAAUAAUUUUGUUUUUUGCUGCUGUAUGAAUCUUUUACUGUAAAAGUUUUUCUGUGGUGUGCAGAGGAAUUACAUGAAGUUGUGGGAGGCAGGAGGACCACAGCUUAGAGUGGCAGGUAAGAAGCUCAGUGUAUGGAGAAUUUCUAUAGGUGGACAGCUGCAACACAUGGGACUUUUGAAAAUGUUUACCUAAUAUUGUUUUAGGUGUCCAGCAGUACUGAAAGGAGAAAUGGUGCUGAAUCUGACAGGAUGACUGUAGUUCAAAGGUGUAUUUUUUUUGGUGUAAAUUGUGUAAGCUCUGUGGUUAAAACAUCCUCUGUGAGAGAAAAAUGUUUUCUGAGUUUCUGAGACUGGAUUAAUGCAUUGAACCAAGAGGACCUUAUUUUAAAGGAACACAGAAGGUCCACAGAUUUCAGACAUAUCUUUAAAUGUUCACUUAAAUAACAGAAUCUAUGUAAAGCUCUUUCAUUUUACUGAAAGUAAAACAUAGCAGACCUUAAUUGUAUUGAAGCUGAAGUUCUUAUUCAUUAAUUACAAUUGUUCCCAUUGGAAGCAAAAUUGACCAAU